This 347-nucleotide ribosomal RNA is filed under the name uncultured Oomycota. Its description in RNAcentral is "eukaryotic LSU rRNA". It matches the Rfam family "Eukaryotic large subunit ribosomal RNA", at positions 326 to 612 of the family's 3401-position model. The record is from RNAcentral. Lineage: Eukaryota; Oomycota.
GUGCGAGACCGAUAGCGAACAAGUACCGUGAGGGAAAGAUGAAAAGAACUUUGAAAAGAGAGUUAAAGAGUACCUGAAACUGUUGAAAGGGAAUCGUAUCGUUUCCAGUGUCUUAUCCUUUGCAUAUUUCAUUGGCGGAUGCUAGUACGUGGGUUAUGGGGGAGUCGUUCAUUCGGCACUCUGUUUUCUAUGUUGCUGGUGUUUGCUGGUGCCCUGUGCAUUGGUGUGACGUCAGAGUCAGUUUGUACGCCGUGGGAGAUGGCUGUUGAGGAGGUAUUCCAUUCAUGUAUUUGUUUGGUUGUUAUAUCUCAGCAGUUAGUAGUCAUGGUUGAGACUGAGGUGCCUAC